UGGAUGAUGUGGAUUAAUUCGAUGCAACGCGAAGAACUUACCUACCCUUGACAUGUCCGGAACUUGCCAGAGAUGGCUUGGUGCCCGAAAGGGAAUCGGAACACAGGUGCUGCAUGGCUGUCGUCAGCUCGUGUCGUGAGAUGUUGGGUUAAGUCCCGCAACGAGCCGCAACCCUUGUCAUUAGUUGCCAUCAUUUGGUUGGGCACUCUAAUGAGACUGCCGGUGACAAACCGGAGGAAGGUGGGGAUGACGUCAAGUCCUCAUGGCCCUUAUGGGUAGGGCUUCACACGUCAUACAAUGGUCGGUACAGAGGGUUGCCAACCCGCGAGGGGGAGCUAAUCCCACAAAGCCGAUCGUAGUCCGGAUCGCAGUCUGCAACUCGACUGCGUGAAGUCGGAAUCGCUAGUAAUCGUGGAUCAGCAUGUCACGGUGAAUACGUUCCCGGGUCUU
RNAcentral lists this ribosomal RNA (450 nucleotides) under uncultured Rhodocyclaceae bacterium. Its description in RNAcentral is "bacterial SSU rRNA". It matches the Rfam family "Bacterial small subunit ribosomal RNA", at positions 933 to 1382 of the family's 1533-position model. Lineage: Bacteria; Pseudomonadati; Pseudomonadota; Betaproteobacteria; Rhodocyclales; Rhodocyclaceae. The record is from RNAcentral.